CUGUUGUGGGCAAAUAAAGUGAAUAUGGGUAUCAACGCCACCCGCGGUGAUAAUUUUGCCUUCGCCUGCAACCACUUCAGUACCGGGGCCAAUCACGAUAUCGACAUUCGGCUGCACGUCAGGGUUGCCGGCUUUACCAAUACCCGCAAUGCGGCCAUUUUUAAUGCCAAUAUCGGCUUUAACAAUGCCCCAAUGGUCUAGAAUAAUGGCGUUGGUGAUUAUCACAUCAACGCAUUGGUCGCUGGUUACUUGGCUUUGUCCCAUACCGUCAC
RNAcentral lists this small RNA (272 nucleotides) under Providencia huaxiensis. Its description in RNAcentral is "5' ureB small RNA". It matches the Rfam family "5' ureB small RNA". The record is from RNAcentral. Lineage: Bacteria; Pseudomonadati; Pseudomonadota; Gammaproteobacteria; Enterobacterales; Morganellaceae.